This 389-nucleotide RNase P RNA is filed under the name Gleimia hominis. RNAcentral describes it as "RNase P RNA component class A". It matches the Rfam family "Bacterial RNase P class A". From Rfam's summary of the family: Ribonuclease P (RNase P) is a ubiquitous endoribonuclease, found in archaea, bacteria and eukarya as well as chloroplasts and mitochondria. Its best characterised activity is the generation of mature 5'-ends of tRNAs by cleaving the 5'-leader elements of precursor-tRNAs. Lineage: Bacteria; Bacillati; Actinomycetota; Actinomycetes; Actinomycetales; Actinomycetaceae. The record is from RNAcentral.
UGAGCUGGCUGGAUGGCCGCGGCCUGCAAACAGGCUGAGGAACGUCCGGACUCCACAGGGCACGAUGGUGGCUAACGGCCACUCGGGGCGACUCGAGGCUAGUGCAACAGAAAGUAAACCGCCCGGCCCAAAAUGGUGGGUUGGGUAAGGGUGAAACGGUGAUGUAAGAGAUCACCAGCACCUCAGGUGACUGAGGUGGCUAGGUAAACCCCAUUGGGAGCAAAACCAAGCAGCGCGCGCAGCGGCCCGCUGGACGCGCGCGGGUAGGUUGCUAGAGGCUGUCAGCAAUGGCAGUUCGAGAUAGAUGGCCAUCGCCGACCCGGUUCUAAGCGCCUCGUCGCGAGGAAUCGUGGCCGGUACAGAAUCCGGCUUAUAAGCCAGCUCACCUU